Molecule: long non-coding RNA, 898 nt
Filed under: Sorghum bicolor (sorghum)
Lineage: Eukaryota; Viridiplantae; Streptophyta; Magnoliopsida; Poales; Poaceae
Description: long non-coding RNA (SBIC_LNC005360)
Source: RNAcentral
CAGCAUCGCCACUUGCGCUGGAACUGCUGCUCUUACUUGCUUUAGCUUCUCCUCCAGCAGUGGCAUCGACAUCUGCUUUGCCGUUACCCCCUACCUCACCACCACCAGAAGUAGUUGUGUCAUCUGCAUCAGUUUUGCCACCUUCAUAUCCUCCAGCACCGCUGAAGCUACUGCUCUUACUUGCUUUAGCUUCUCCUCCAGGUCCAGCACUAGCUUCAGCUGCAGCAAUGGCUUUAUCUUCAGCUUUAUCUAUAGCUUGAGCAUCAGCAACAGCUUCAACAACAGCUUUAGCUUCAGCUCUAGCCAGAGCUUGACUCUCAGUCUCAACACGAGCAUUGAUAUCAACACCGGCUGCUACACGGCCAGAUACUCCUAAAAUGUAAGCAAAAACAUUAUGUUACUUUUCAUAUGUUAAAAAAGAUAUAAACAUUCGCGGUGACGCAUUUGUAGCCAUGCAAGCGCCUGCUUAAUUGCACCUGUUUGCAUCCUUUAUUGUUUAUUAUUGUAGAUAUAGCUAGGAGUAGGUUAUAUAACUAGGGCACCUGAUAUAUAUAGUUUAGUUACCUUUCAAAAUUAACGUAUUUGCUAUUACUAGGAUGGAUUAUAUAUCUGAAUAAUUAACCUUGAGGUAACAAUUGAUAAAAGGUAGUAGUAAUUAAGCAUUACCAACUGCAUCCUCAGCCAGUGAUGACAUGCUGAUGGCUAUGUUUCCUGCAACUGUAGAAAGGUCGCGUGCCACACCCUUCACCAACUCAUACUUCUCAUUUUCUGGCAUUGCAGCAUCGAGGGAGAUAGCCUUGCAACGUUCUGCGGCCUUCUUAAGGAUCUCCUGUUGAAGCCUGAGUGCUGCCACGAUGUCCGCGGAAGCAACAGUAGGGUGUUGUUGGCCAACUAUGGU